RNAcentral lists this ribosomal RNA (68 nucleotides) under Isoptericola halotolerans. Its description in RNAcentral is "partial 16S ribosomal RNA". It matches the Rfam family "Bacterial small subunit ribosomal RNA", at positions 1 to 68 of the family's 1533-position model. Lineage: Bacteria; Bacillati; Actinomycetota; Actinomycetes; Micrococcales; Promicromonosporaceae. RNAcentral also lists the same sequence under 1 other name. The record is from RNAcentral.
UUUACGGAGAGUUUGAUCCUGGCUCAGGACGAACGCUGGCGGCGUGCUUAACACAUGCAAGUCGAACG